GACGAACGCUGGCGGCGUGCCUAAUACAUGCAAGUAGAACGCUGAAGAGAGGAGCUUGCUCUUCUUGGAUGAGUUGCGAACGGGUGAGUAACGCGUAGGUAACCUGCCUUGUAGCGGGGGAUAACUAUUGGAAACGAUAGCUAAUACCGCAUAACAAUGGAUGACACAUGUCAUUUAUUUGAAAGGGGCAAUUGCUCCACUACAAGAUGGACCUGCGUUGUAUUAGCUAGUAGGUGAGGUAAUGGCUCACCUAGGCGACGAUACAUAGCCGACCUGAGAGGGGGGUCGGCGAAACACAGAAGGAGACAGGGCACAGAGGCCGACGGAAGGCAGCAGUGGGGAGACUUCAGGAAGGGGUGCGGACCUGACGGGGCAAGGCAGCGUGAGGAAGGAAGGUUUGCGGAUCGUGUAGCACUGUUGUAAGUCAAGAAAGGGAGGGAGAGUGGAAAGUUCACACUGUGACGGUAGCUGACAAGAAAGGGGAGGCUAACUAGGAG
This 497-nucleotide ribosomal RNA is filed under the name uncultured bacterium. Its description in RNAcentral is "partial 16S ribosomal RNA". It matches the Rfam family "Bacterial small subunit ribosomal RNA", at positions 28 to 507 of the family's 1533-position model. The record is from RNAcentral.